Molecule: long non-coding RNA, 1261 nt
Organism: Hylaeus volcanicus
Lineage: Eukaryota; Metazoa; Arthropoda; Insecta; Hymenoptera; Colletidae
Exons: 4
Source: RefSeq, a predicted model, not a curated record
AACAUAGUUCCCGCGUCAACGAGAGUGAACUCGCAAUACAAGAUAAACGAGAAAUAAAACCGUCGUCGAAAGGGUAGGUCAGCGAUCCAAGUUACGUUUAAAGUUCGAUCCAGAAACGAGGAACCUGCAACGAUCGAGGACAGUACCUACUCACGAGACACGACAUUCUACGAGCACCUCUUAGAAAUUGGACAUGGAAAGACUUUCAGAAAGUUCUGCUAAAUAGUUAAUCGAUUCGACGAGUGGGCAGCUCGUACAUCAAACGACAAAGAGCGAUCGAGUGUCUCGGUAGAGUGAUUCGACAGAGGCGAUCGAUCGCGCACGAGUGAACAGAAAUUCUGAAAACAAGAGUUGGAAAAAAGAACCGCGAGCAGACGCCGUAUAAUGAACAGAAUUCACUCUAGCCCGGUCAUUUUCACUUCCGUGGAAAAGAAAAGGGAAAGUGCGCGUCGUUUCAGACCAAGAAGCCGUGCUUUACCGUACGUGUUUAUAACGCUCGGACAUCGUAGACCUACGUGAUCGUCUAUUUAACCAUGCUCUUGACGAAAUAAUGCUUUUUCAACGACAACUGUUUCUUGCAAAAUGAGUUCGAUUCCUGGAUCGGUUGGAGAUUUCGGGGCAUCGUUGAUCGUAUUCGUUGCUUUUUCACAGGACCAAGUGCGUCGAGGUCCAGGUAACACUGUUUACGGAGCGCACCAUAAAGACGCUCGAAAUUUGUCCAAGUCCAGCAACGUCACGCCAAGAUCACUCGAUUUCUCACAUCUUUCACAAAAUUUUAACAUGUAAGAAAUAAACUCCACAAAGUUGCUUUCAUAAAUAGUCUAUCGCGCGAAUCUCGCGGUUCGCAACUUUCGCGACUCUGAAUUCUCUAAUUUUGAGCGGGAAUUUUCAGUUGACUCGCGUAAGAGGGGAAAAAGUACGAGGAAACGUGAAAUUGGAGCGCACCUUUGACGCACGUGCACUUGGCCAUACAGUUGAUCAGAAAUCACGUGGUGGAAACUGCAAACUGGUUCGCGGAGGAACGACCUCCGAUUCCUGGAUAACGGAUGAGCUGACCUUCGAAAAUAUGGCGGCACUCGUGGACGGUCCGUGGCCACGAGUGUCGACUACACACUACACAGUACACUGGGAGUUGGGACCGGACUACUACGGUGCUAAGAUGAACCGAGUAAACGGUCCCGAGAGCUUAGCUCUAGGUAGGAGGAGCGCACUUAUACUUGGUUUCGAUCUUCCUCGAUCCAUUCUCUCCUCAACCUCGGAA